AACUCAACAAGCCCCUGUUAAUAACCCCAAAUACCCUAAUAUUUAAAUUAAACAAACCAUUUUUCCCCCUUAGUAUAGGCGAUAGAAAAGGACAUAAGGCGCAAUAGAGAAAGUACCGCAAGGGAACGCUGAAAGAGAAAUGAAACAACCCAGUAAAGCCUAAAAAAGCAGAGAUUAAAGCUCGUACCUUUUGCAUCAUGAUUUAGCAAGUGUAUCUCAAGCAAAGCGAACUUUAGUUUGAUGUCCCGAAACUACGUGAGCUACUCCAAGACAGCCUAAUUAAUAGGGCAUACCCGUCUCUGUAGCAAAAGAGUGGGGAGAGCUUUGAGUAGAGGUGACAAACCUACCGAACCUAGUUAUAGCUGGUUGUCCAAGAAAUGAAUAGAAGUUCAGCCUCUUGGCUUCUCUUUUCACACUAGUUUAACCCCUAAUUGAUACCUUAAGAAACCAAGAGAGUUAGUCAAAGGGGGUACAGCCCCUUUGAAUCAAGACACAACUUUAUUAGGCGGGUAAAGAUCAUAAUAAUUAAAGCUAAGUGUUCGGGUGGGCCUAAAAGCAGCCAUCCCUUUAGAAAGCGUUAAAGCUCGGACAUACAACCUCACCUUCUUAUUCUGAUCACCUAAUCUUACCCCCCUAACCAUAAUGGACCAUCCCAUGCCCCCAUGGGAGUGAUUAUGCUAAUAUGAGUAAUAAGAGAGCCAGAGACUCUCUCCCUGCACACAUGUACAUCGGAACGGACACCCCACCGACCAUUAACGGCCCCAAACAAAGAGGGCAUUGGAAAGCAGACCAAACAACCAGAAAGGCCUCCAAUAAUAAACCGUUACCCCUACACAGGUGUGCCCCCAGGGAAAGACUAAAAGAAAGAGAAGGAACUCGGCAAACAUAUAAGCCUCGCCUGUUUACCAAAAACAUCGCCUCUUGUAAAUCAAAAAUAAGAGGUCCCGCCUGCCCUGUGACUAUUUGUUUAACGGCCGCGGUAUUUUGACCGUGCGAAGGUAGCGCAAUCACUUGUCUUUUAAAUGAAGACCCGUAUGAAUGGCAUAACGAGGGCUUAACUGUCUCCUCUUUCCAGUCAAUGAAGUUGAUCUUCCCGUGCAGAAGCGGGAAUACAUUCAUAAGACGAGAAGACCCUAUGGAGCUUUAGACACAAAAGCAGCCCUCGUUAAGCACCCUGAACAAAGGACUAAACCAAAUGGGCCCUGCCCUAAUGUCUUUGGUUGGGGCGACCGCGGGGAAUUAAAUAACCCCCACGUGGAAUGGGAACACUUUUCCUACAACUGAGAGCCACAGCUCUAGAAAACAGAAUUUCUGACCAACAAGAUCCGGCAAUGCCGAUCAACGGACCGAGUUACCCUAGGGAUAACAGCGCAAUCCUCUUUUAGAGCCCAUAUCGACAAGGGGGUUUACGACCUCGAUGUUGGAUCAGGACAUCCUAAUGGUGCAGCCGCUAUUAAGGGUUCGUUUGUUCAACGAUUAAAGUCCUACGUGAUCUGAGUUCAGACCGGAGUAAUCCAGGUCAGUUUCUAUCUAUGCUAUGCUCUUUUCUAGUACGAAAGGACCGAAAAGAAGAGGCCCAUGCCAAAGGCACGCCUCCCCCCCACCUAGUGAAAUCAACUAAAGUAGGCAAUAGGGCAUGCCCCUAUGCCUGAGAGAAAGGCAU
This 1663-nucleotide ribosomal RNA is filed under the name Cottus tenuis (slender sculpin). RNAcentral's name for it is "16S ribosomal RNA". The stretch from base 84 to 1551 matches the Rfam family "Bacterial large subunit ribosomal RNA". The record is from RNAcentral. Lineage: Eukaryota; Metazoa; Chordata; Actinopteri; Perciformes; Cottidae.